UUAAAAUAUCAACAUUUUACGGUUACUAAAAGCGUUUAAUUCAAUUUUAGCAUUUUCUAUGUUAACCGUUUUCUCAAAAAAUAUUUCAAAAACUUCCCCUCUUUGCGAAGUUGGCUGUGUUUAGUUUGCACACAAAUUUUGACAUGCGAUCGCACUGCCAGUGUCAGCCGAAGAAAAGUAUGUCAUAUGCUUCCCAUUGAUCAGAU
Long non-coding RNA from Bradysia coprophila, 206 nucleotides. The record is from RefSeq and is a predicted model, not a curated record. NCBI's taxonomy places the organism in Eukaryota, Metazoa, Arthropoda, Insecta, Diptera, Sciaridae.